RNAcentral lists this ribosomal RNA (498 nucleotides) under uncultured Flavobacteriaceae bacterium. RNAcentral describes it as "bacterial SSU rRNA". It matches the Rfam family "Bacterial small subunit ribosomal RNA", at positions 545 to 1050 of the family's 1533-position model. Lineage: Bacteria; Pseudomonadati; Bacteroidota; Flavobacteriia; Flavobacteriales; Flavobacteriaceae. The record is from RNAcentral.
CCGGAAUCAUUGGGUUUAAAGGGUCCGUAGGUGGAUAAUUAAGUCAGAGGUGAAAGUCUGCAGCUCAACUGUAGAAUUGCCUUUGAUACUGGUUAUCUUGAAUUAUUAUGAAGUAGUUAGAAUAUGUAGUGUAGCGGUGAAAUGCAUAGAUAUUACAUAGAAUACCAAUUGCGAAGGCAGAUUACUAAUAAUAUAUUGACACUGAUGGACGAAAGCGUAGGUAGCGAACGGGAUUAGAUACCCCGGUAGUCUACGCCGUAAACGAUGGAUACUAGCUGUUCGACUUCGGUUGAGUGGCUAAGCGAAAGUGAUAAGUAUCCCACCUGGGGAGUACGUUCGCAAGAAUGAAACUCAAAGGAAUUGACGGGGGCCCGCACAAGCGGUGGAGCAUGUGGUUUAAUUCGAUGAUACGCGAGGAACCUUACCAGGGCUUAAAUGCAUAUUGACAGGGUCAGAGAUGACUUUUCCUUCGGGCAAUUUGCAAGGUGCUGCAUGGUU